UGUGGGUGCUUGGAUCGAACAGAAGGCAGGGGCGACAAAGGGUUUCCUUCAAACCCUAGUUUACACACAAAAUCCUUAAAUUGAAGCCUCAAAUCUGCCCUAAAUCAAGUCUUGAACAUGAAUUAGUGAUCACCUCGUUGUAGGGAUCAAAAAGGUAAAGAAUCUGGGUCGUCAAGUGGACAAGCCGGAGGUGAUACACGCUUAAAGGGUGCGCUUUGAAGGUAAAGAUGCUCUUUAGACCCCGGAGGAUGAUCAAGCCAUGUCAAGAACCGAACACACCGAACAAAGCUUCCGCAUUUUGUCUAUUUUGUUUUAGUAAAGAAUCUGGGUCGUCAAGUGGACAAGCCGGAGGUGAUACACGCUUAAAGGGUAAAGAUGCUCUUUAGACCCCGGAGGAUGAU
Molecule: long non-coding RNA, 401 nt
Filed under: Helianthus annuus (common sunflower)
Lineage: Eukaryota; Viridiplantae; Streptophyta; Magnoliopsida; Asterales; Asteraceae
Source: RNAcentral